Molecule: non-coding RNA, 72 nt
Organism: Phrynosoma platyrhinos (Desert horned lizard)
Lineage: Eukaryota; Metazoa; Chordata; Lepidosauria; Squamata; Phrynosomatidae
Source: the annotation of a GenBank genome assembly
GCCAGAGUGGUACAGUUGUUUGAGCAUUAGACUAUGACUCUAGCAAUCAGGGUUCGAUUCCCUGCUCAGCUA